AACACACAAAAUUAACUUUUUAAAUUAUUUUUACAACAGGUUUGUAAAUGGUUGCAGGCAAUGUUCUUCUACUUGAAGCAGAUCCCAUAUUACUUUGAUGCUAUAUUAAUUGGUGCAUACACUACUCUUCUGGAUGCAGCAUGGAAGCAAAUGUCAAGCUUUGUUCAGAAUGGUUCAAGCUUUGUGAAACACCUUUCACUGGGUUCAGUCCAAAUG
RNAcentral lists this long non-coding RNA (216 nucleotides) under Ictidomys tridecemlineatus (thirteen-lined ground squirrel). Its description in RNAcentral is "lncRNA (ENSSTOG00000029751.1)". The record is from RNAcentral. Lineage: Eukaryota; Metazoa; Chordata; Mammalia; Rodentia; Sciuridae.